RNAcentral lists this ribosomal RNA (319 nucleotides) under uncultured Bacteroidales bacterium. RNAcentral describes it as "partial 16S ribosomal RNA". Lineage: Bacteria; Pseudomonadati; Bacteroidota; Bacteroidia; Bacteroidales. The record is from RNAcentral.
GGAGUCUGGUCCGUGUCUCAGUACCAGUGUGGGGGACCUUCCUCUCAGAACCCCUACGCAUCGUAGCCUUGGUGGGCCGUUGCCCCGCCAACCAGCUAAUGCGCCGCAUGCCCAUCCCCUACCGACGGAUCUUUCCCCGCGCAACGAUGCCGACGCGCGGACUACGGGGCAUUAGGCCAAAUUUCUCUGGGUUAUUCCCCUGUAGGGGGCAGGUUGCAUACGUGUUACUCACCAGUGCGCCGGUCGCCAUCGGGUGGUGUUGCCACCUCCCAUGCUGCCCCUCGACUUGCAUGUGUUAAGCCUGUCGCUAGCGUUCAUC